CUCGGAAGCUAAGCAGGUCGGGCCUGGUUAGUAUCUUGGAUGGGAGACCACCUGGGAAUCCCGGGUGCUCUAGGC
This 75-nucleotide ribosomal RNA is filed under the name Bison bison bison. Lineage: Eukaryota; Metazoa; Chordata; Mammalia; Artiodactyla; Bovidae. The record is from RNAcentral.